Molecule: ribosomal RNA, 1438 nt
Filed under: Lactiplantibacillus plantarum
Lineage: Bacteria; Bacillati; Bacillota; Bacilli; Lactobacillales; Lactobacillaceae
Description: bacterial SSU rRNA
Rfam family: Bacterial small subunit ribosomal RNA
Source: RNAcentral
AGUCGAACGAACUCUGGUAUUGAUUGGUGCUUGCAUCAUGAUUUACAUUUGAGUGAGUGGCGAACUGGUGAGUAACACGUGGGAAACCUGCCCAGAAGCGGGGGAUAACACCUGGAAACAGAUGCUAAUACCGCAUAACAACUUGGACCGCAUGGUCCGAGCUUGAAAGAUGGCUUCGGCUAUCACUUUUGGAUGGUCCCGCGGCGUAUUAGCUAGAUGGUGGGGUAACGGCUCACCAUGGCAAUGAUACGUAGCCGACCUGAGAGGGUAAUCGGCCACAUUGGGACUGAGACACGGCCCAAACUCCUACGGGAGGCAGCAGUAGGGAAUCUUCCACAAUGGACGAAAGUCUGAUGGAGCAACGCCGCGUGAGUGAAGAAGGGUUUCGGCUCGUAAAACUCUGUUGUUAAAGAAGAACAUAUCUGAGAGUAACUGUUCAGGUAUUGACGGUAUUUAACCAGAAAGCCACGGCUAACUACGUGCCAGCAGCCGCGGUAAUACGUAGGUGGCAAGCGUUGUCCGGAUUUAUUGGGCGUAAAGCGAGCGCAGGCGGUUUUUUAAGUCUGAUGUGAAAGCCUUCGGCUCAACCGAAGAAGUGCAUCGGAAACUGGGAAACUUGAGUGCAGAAGAGGACAGUGGAACUCCAUGUGUAGCGGUGAAAUGCGUAGAUAUAUGGAAGAACACCAGUGGCGAAGGCGGCUGUCUGGUCUGUAACUGACGCUGAGGCUCGAAAGUAUGGGUAGCAAACAGGAUUAGAUACCCUGGUAGUCCAUACCGUAAACGAUGAAUGCUAAGUGUUGGAGGGUUUCCGCCCUUCAGUGCUGCAGCUAACGCAUUAAGCAUUCCGCCUGGGGAGUACGGCCGCAAGGCUGAAACUCAAAGGAAUUGACGGGGGCCCGCACAAGCGGUGGAGCAUGUGGUUUAAUUCGAAGCUACGCGAAGAACCUUACCAGGUCUUGACAUACUAUGCAAAUCUAAGAGAUUAGACGUUCCCUUCGGGGACAUGGAUACAGGUGGUGCAUGGUUGUCGUCAGCUCGUGUCGUGAGAUGUUGGGUUAAGUCCCGCAACGAGCGCAACCCUUAUUAUCAGUUGCCAGCAUUAAGUUGGGCACUCUGGUGAGACUGCCGGUGACAAACCGGAGGAAGGUGGGGAUGACGUCAAAUCAUCAUGCCCCUUAUGACCUGGGCUACACACGUGCUACAAUGGAUGGUACAACGAGUUGCGAACUCGCGAGAGUAAGCUAAUCUCUUAAAGCCAUUCUCAGUUCGGAUUGUAGGCUGCAACUCGCCUACAUGAAGUCGGAAUCGCUAGUAAUCGCGGAUCAGCAUGCCGCGGUGAAUACGUUCCCGGGCCUUGUACACACCGCCCGUCACACCAUGAGAGUUUGUAACACCCAAAGUCGGUGGGGUAACCUUUUAGGAACCAGCCGCCUAAGGU